RNAcentral lists this ribosomal RNA (253 nucleotides) under uncultured bacterium. Its description in RNAcentral is "partial 16S ribosomal RNA". It matches the Rfam family "Bacterial small subunit ribosomal RNA", at positions 524 to 776 of the family's 1533-position model. The record is from RNAcentral.
UACAGAGGUCUCAAGCGUUGUUCGGAUUCAUUGGGCGUAAAGGGUGUGUAGGUGGCGCCGUAAGUCGGGUGUGAAAUCUCGGGGCUUAACUCCGAAACUGCAUUCGAUACUGCGGUGCUUGAGGACUGGAGAGGAGACUGGAAUUCAUGGUGUAGCAGUGAAAUGCGUAGAUAUCUGCAGGAACACCCGUGGCGAAAGCGGCGCGCUGGACCACUACUGACGCUGAAGAACGAAAGCUAGGGGAGCAAACAGG